GGCCAACGGCUGGCUAAGCAAGUCUCAUUUGAACUUUUCCCUGAACUUGAGAACUUGGGUAAUGCAGCUGGUGUCACGGAAAAGAUAAAUUUGGCAAUUUGGCAGGCAAGUUUACAGAAGUUCUGGAACUCCUCUCCUUAUUAUUUGGCAGAUGAAAGUGAUGUUUCGAAGAAAACGAAAAUGGAUAUAGAAAGAUUCUCGGAUAAGAAGUCAGAGAGGGACAAGGCAAAGCCACCAUUGGACAAAUUCAUAAGAAUGGAGCCUGAUUAUGUUCCUGCAGAACUAGCUGAAGGUGGAAGGAAGAGGAGAGAUAACACAGACGGAAUGCGUUGGACCCCAGAUUUAGACAUGGGAAAAUUGGAUCUUUUGGAAAAGCUUGAUCAAAAGUCUAAGGGCGAUGAUGAAAAGAAAAAAGAUGGUGAAGACGAGGACGAAGAUCCAGAGGAGAAAGUUGGAGAGGAAGAAGAAGAAUUUAGCGAUGAUGGAGAUUACAAUCAGAAUCUUUAUGAUUACGAUGACGAUGAAGACGACUACAACAUGAAUGAAGAUAAUAAUGAUGAUGCCAUGUAUUGAGGGUUGCUUGGUGGAGUGAUUUUUGCUUACUGGUAUUCCGUGAAAUCAGUCGAGGUGCGCAAAAGCUGGCUCGAAUACUCCUCGUAAAUUAACAACUAUUUAAUUCAAGACAAUCUAAAAAGCACUUAUUGUGGGUCACAGCUUUUUCUUCUUUGUUUGGGCAGCAUACCCUCGUGUCUCAUCUCCUAUAGUUAGGAGCAUUUGAAAGAGUAUUUUCGCCGCGAAACAUAAAUUUAUGUUUUAA
This 817-nucleotide unclassified non-coding RNA is filed under the name Hevea brasiliensis (rubber tree). Lineage: Eukaryota; Viridiplantae; Streptophyta; Magnoliopsida; Malpighiales; Euphorbiaceae. The record is from RNAcentral.